GACGAACGCUGGCGGCGUGCUUAACACAUGCAAGUCGAACGGAAAGGCCCUGCUUUUGUGGGGUGCUCGAGUGGCGAACGGGUGAGUAACACGUGAGUAACCUGCCCUUGACUUUGGGAUAACUUCAGGAAACUGGGGCUAAUACCGGAUAGGAGCUCCUGCUGCAUGGUGGGGGUUGGAAAGUUUCGGCGGUUGGGGAUGGACUCGCGGCUUAUCAGCUUGUUGGUGGGGUAGUGGCUUACCAAGGCUUUGACGGGUAGCCGGCCUGAGAGGGUGACCGGCCACAUUGGGACUGAGAUACGGCCCAGACUCCUACGGGAGGCAGCAGUGGGGAAUAUUGCACAAUGGGCGGAAGCCUGAUGCAGCAACGCCGCGUGCGGGAUGACGGCCUUCGGGUUGUAAACCGCUUUCGCCUGUGACGAAGCGUGAGUGACGGUAAUGGGUAAAGAAGCACCGGCUAACUACGUGCCAGCAGCCGCGGUGAUACGUAGGGUGCGAGCGUUGUCCGGAUUUAUUGGGCGUAAAGGGCUCGUAGGUGGUUGAUCGCGUCGGAAGUGUAAUCUUGGGGCUUAACCCUGAGCGUGCUUUCGAUACGGGUUGACUUGAGGAAGGUAGGGGAGAAUGGAAUUCCUGGUGGAGCGGUGGAAUGCGCAGAUAUCAGGAGGAACACCAGUGGCGAAGGCGGUUCUCUGGGCCUUUCCUGACGCUGAGGAGCGAAAGCGUGGGGAGCGAACAGGCUUAGAUACCCUGGUAGUCCACGCUGUAAACGGUGGGUACUAGGUGUGGGGUCCAUUCCACGGGUUCCGUGCCGUAGCUAACGCUUUAAGUACCCCGCCUGGGGAGUACGGCCGCAAGGCUAAAACUCAAAGGAAUUGACGGGGCCCCGCACAAGCGGCGGAGCAUGCGGAUUAAUUCGAUGCAACGCGUAGAACCUUACCUGGGUUUGACAUGGAUCGGGAGUGCUCAGAGAUGGGUGUGCCUCUUUUGGGGUCGGUUCACAGGUGGUGCAUGCCUGUCGUCAGCUCGUGUCGUGAGAUGUUGGGUUAAGUCCCGCAACGAGCGCAACCCUUGUUCACUGUUGCCAGCACGUUAUGGUGGGGACUCAGUGGAGACCGCCGGGGUCAACUCGGAGGAAGGUGGGGAUGACGUCAAGUCAUCAUGCCCCUUAUGUCCAGGGCUUCACGCAUGCUACAAUGGCUGGUACAGAGAGUGGCGAGCCUGUGAGGGUGAGCGAAUCUCGGAAAGCCGGUCUCAGUUCGGAUUGGGGUCUGCAACUCGCCCUCAUGAAGUCGGAGUCGCUAGUAAUCGCAGAUCAGCAACGCUGCGGUGAAUACGUUCCCGGG
This 1343-nucleotide ribosomal RNA is filed under the name uncultured bacterium. Its description in RNAcentral is "16S ribosomal RNA". It matches the Rfam family "Bacterial small subunit ribosomal RNA", at positions 28 to 1378 of the family's 1533-position model. The record is from RNAcentral.